UGACCUCGGAUCAGGUAGGGAUACCGCUG
RNAcentral lists this ribosomal RNA (29 nucleotides) under Umbilicaria antarctica. RNAcentral describes it as "partial 26S ribosomal RNA". The record is from RNAcentral. Lineage: Eukaryota; Fungi; Ascomycota; Lecanoromycetes; Umbilicariales; Umbilicariaceae.